Molecule: ribosomal RNA, 253 nt
Filed under: uncultured bacterium
Lineage: Bacteria
Description: partial 16S ribosomal RNA
Rfam family: Bacterial small subunit ribosomal RNA
Source: RNAcentral
UACGUAGGGAGCAAGCGUUGUUCGGAUUUACUGGGCGUAAAGGGCGCGUAGGCGGCGCGGUAAGGCAAUUGUGAAAUCUCUGAGCUUAACUCAGAAAGGCCAAGUGAUACUGCAGUGCUAGAGUGCAGAAGGGGCAAUCGGAAUUCUUGGUGUAGCGGUGAAAUGCGUAGAUAUCAAGAGGAACACCUGAGGUGAAGACGGGUUGCUGGGCCAACACUGACGCUGAUGCGCGAAAGCCAGGGGAGCAAACGGG